Molecule: ribosomal RNA, 498 nt
Filed under: uncultured bacterium
Lineage: Bacteria
Description: partial 16S ribosomal RNA
Rfam family: Bacterial small subunit ribosomal RNA
Source: RNAcentral
AUUGAACGCUGGCGGAAUGCUUUACACAUGCAAGUCGAGCGGCAGCGCGGGGCAACCUGGCGGCGAGCGGCGAACGGGUGAGUAAUACAUCGGAACGUGCCCAGACGUGGGGGAUAACUACUCGAAAGAGUGGCUAAUACCGCAUACGAUCUGAGGAUGAAAGCGGGGGAUCGCAAGACCUCGCGCGUCUGGAGCGGCCGAUGGCAGAUUAGGUAGUUGGUGAGGUAAAGGCUUACCAAGCCUGCGAUCUGUAGCUGGUCUGAGAGGAUGAUCAGCCACACUGGGACGGAGACACGGCCCAGACUCCUACGGGAGGCAGCAGUGGGGAAUUUUGGACAAUGGGCGAAAGCCUGAUCCAGCCAUUCCGCGUGCAGGAUGAAGGCCCUCGGGUUGUAAACUGCUUUCGUACGGAACGAAAAAGCUCCGGCUAAUACCUGGAGUCCAUGACGGUACCGUAAGAAUAAGCACCGGCUAACUACGUGCCAGCCGCCGCCGUAA